GUGGGGAAUUUUGGACAAUGGGCGAAAGCCUGAUCCAGCCAUGCCGCGUGCAGGAUGAAGGCCUUCGGGUUGUAAACUGCUUUUGUACGGAACGAAAAGACUCCUUCUAAUAAAGGGGGUCCAUGACGGUACCGUAAGAAUAAGCACCGGCUAACUACGUGCCAGCAGCCGCGGUAAUACGUAGGGUGCAAGCGUUAAUCGGAAUUACUGGGCGUAAAGCGUGCGCAGGCGGGUAUAUAAGACAGAUGUGAAAUCCCCGGGCUCAACCUGGGAACUGCAUUUGUGACUGUAUAGCUAGAGUACGGUAGAGGGGGAUGGAAUUCCGCGUGUAGCAGUGAAAUGCGUAGAUAUGCGGAGGAACACCGAUGGCGAAGGCAAUCCCCUGGACCUGUACUGACGCUCAUGCACGAAAGCGUGGGGAGCAAACAGGAUUAGAAACCCCAGUAGUCC
RNAcentral lists this ribosomal RNA (450 nucleotides) under uncultured bacterium. Its description in RNAcentral is "partial 16S ribosomal RNA". It matches the Rfam family "Bacterial small subunit ribosomal RNA", at positions 354 to 796 of the family's 1533-position model. The record is from RNAcentral.